RNAcentral lists this long non-coding RNA (582 nucleotides) under Capra hircus (goat). RNAcentral's name for it is "lncRNA (ENSCHIG00010007866.1)". The record is from RNAcentral. Lineage: Eukaryota; Metazoa; Chordata; Mammalia; Artiodactyla; Bovidae.
AUGGAAAUUAUAUUAGAACUUCAGCAAAGUGCACAGCCGCAUAACACAGAAGCCGAGACUCAGAUUGACAGGCAAAUAAGCCAGCUCGUGGAAGGGGCCUCUGGGUGGCAGCUCUGGGCUAUUGGGUGUUGGACAACUAUAGGCAAAACUGAAAUGGAACAGGGGCAGAAAAUAGCACACUUUAACGCUGCGCAACCGUUGCUUUCUCAUGGCCAUUGGAAAUUUUGUUGGGAUAAUCCUCCAAAUGAAUUUGAAGCAUUCUAUUCAAAUGAUGAUUUAUACAGAUUUGAUUUGCAAAUUCUACAGAUGCACGGCUGGUGGUGUGGCUCAGACGGAGCAAGGGUUACAUCAAGGCUGUUCUCUGGACCGUGCAAACAGUCUAGACCAAUGACCUGCAGCAUCAUGCCCUUUGAAGAAGAGGCAAGUUCGGUCAUGAUGAAGAAAAAUCAAGGCGUACCCCUUUUAACAAUAGGGAGCAGCUCGAGGCUGCAAAGAGGUUAUUUAUCAUUAAAAUGGCAUUGUUAUGUGAUGACUCAGAAGUUAACAGAGUUUGUGGCUGCUUUUGAGAAAGAAAACUCUUAA